RNAcentral lists this ribosomal RNA (492 nucleotides) under uncultured bacterium. RNAcentral's name for it is "partial 16S ribosomal RNA". It matches the Rfam family "Bacterial small subunit ribosomal RNA", at positions 29 to 507 of the family's 1533-position model. The record is from RNAcentral.
AGUGAACGCUGGCGGUAGGCCUAACACAUGCAAGUCGAACGGCAGCACAGUAAGAGCUUGCUCUUACGGGUGGCGAGUGGCGGACGGGUGAGGAAUACAUCGGAAUCUACUUUUUCGUGGGGGAUAACGUAGGGAAACUUACGCUAAUACCGCAUACGACCUACGGGUGAAAGCAGGGGAUCUUCGGACCUUGCGCGAUUGAAUGAGCCGAUGUCGGAUUAGCUAGUUGGCGGGGUAAAGGCCCACCAAGGCGACGAUCCGUAGCUGGUCUGAGAGGAUGAUCAGCCACACUGGAACUGAGACACGGUCCAGACUCCUACGGGAGGCAGCAGUGGGGAAUAUUGGACAAAGGGCGCAAGCCUGAUCCAGCCACACCGCGUGGGUGAAGAAGGCCUUCGGGUUGUAAAGCCCUUUUGUUGGGAAAGAAAAGCAGCAGGUUAAUACCCCGCUGUUCCGACGGUACCCAAAGAAUAAGCACCGGCUAACUUCGUG